Molecule: unclassified non-coding RNA, 595 nt
Filed under: Hevea brasiliensis (rubber tree)
Lineage: Eukaryota; Viridiplantae; Streptophyta; Magnoliopsida; Malpighiales; Euphorbiaceae
Source: RNAcentral
GAGAGAGAGAGAGAGAGAGAUAUAAAUCCACCAACAGGUUUCAGCCAAGAGAAGCAAGGGCCUAGUGUAUUGAGAGUUUAUACAGGAAGAAAUUCUAGAAGAAUUGGAGCUGGUAUUGCUGACUUGGCAGAAGCUUCUAGAAGGGACGAAACAGAGAAAAUGGCAGGACUCGAGUAGAGAAGGAGAGAAUAUAACUAUUGCCAUGCAAUACAUACAGGGAGGUGGAAAAACUAUAAAAAGAGGAGAGUAUCAACUAAAUAGGGCAUGAAUUGAGUGUCAUCUUGUUUCUUCAGCUUUUAACAGGGCCGAGAGCUUCCUCUGUUAGCUCUUUGGAUUUAUGGUAUUUUCUGUUAUUGUAAUUUGGAAAGUAAUUAUUGCAUUUGGCAAUUCUACUGGGCUAGGAGGAGCCAUUUGUAUACUCAAAACACACCCUUCACUAUUCUGCUACUCUGAAUAUAUACAAGAUGGUGCCUAUUUCUCUGUAACAAAUUUUGUCCACAUGUCCUCUCUCCUUUGCUAGCUCCAACAGCCACAUCCCCCUACUUCUUUCUUAGAAUAAAUGUUAAAUGUUCUUGGACCUAGGCCUGCAUCCCCU